AUGAACGCUGGCGGCGUGCCUAACACAUGCAAGUCGAACGGAGUCCAGCCUUUAAGACCUUCGGGUCAAAGAGGGGAAGACUGAGUGGCGGACGGGUGAGUAACACGUGGGCAACCUGGCUCAUAGAGGGGGAUAACAGAGAGAAAUUUCUGCUAAUACCGCAUAAGCACACACUGCCGCAUGGCAGAGGGUGAAAAGAGAAUCGCUAUGAGAUGGACCCGCGUCUGAUUAGCCAGUUGGCAGGGUAAGAGCCUACCAAAGCGACGAUCAGUAGCCGAUCUGAGAGGAUGAACGGCCACAUUGGGACUGAGACACGGCCCAAACUCCUACGGGAGGCAGCAGUGGGGGAUAUUGCACAAUGGGGGGAACCCUGAUGCAGCGACGCCGCGUGAGUGAAGAAGUAUUUCGGUAUGUAAGGCUCUAUCAGCAGGGAAGAUAAUGACAGUACCUGAAUAAGAAGCCCCGGCUAACUACGUG
Molecule: ribosomal RNA, 477 nt
Filed under: uncultured bacterium
Lineage: Bacteria
Description: partial 16S ribosomal RNA
Rfam family: Bacterial small subunit ribosomal RNA
Source: RNAcentral